Molecule: ribosomal RNA, 347 nt
Filed under: uncultured bacterium
Lineage: Bacteria
Description: bacterial SSU rRNA
Rfam family: Bacterial small subunit ribosomal RNA
Source: RNAcentral
AGAGUUUGAUCAUGGCUCAGGACGAACGCUGGCGGCGCGCCUAACACAUGCAAGUCGAACGGAGCUGAGAGGAGCUUGCUUUUCUUAGCUUAGUGGCGAACGGGUGAGUAACGCGUGAGUAACCUGCCCUGGAGUGGGGGACAACAGUUGGAAACGACUGCUAAUACCGCAUAAGCCCACGGUGCCGCAUGGCACUGCGGGAAAAGGAUUUAUUCGCUUCAGGAUGGACUCGCGUCCAAUUAGCUAGUUGGUGAGGUAACGGCCACCAAGGCGACGAUUGGUAGCCGGACUGAGAGGUUGAACGGCCACAUUGGGACUGAGACACGGCCCAGACUCCUACGGGAGCA